CUAGUAGGAGGUCAGCCUAAUUCUCGUGGCCAUCUGUGGACUCCUGUGAUGUGCUGUGAACAGUCCAUUCCAUUCAUACUGACAUUGAUAUACUUUCCAUUCUAUGGCUGGCAGUGAAAUGAAUUUCAAAACUGCAGUAUGAAGCAUUCUUCAGAGACCUCCUUGCCAGCCAGGUGGGUUUUACAGAAGCACAUCUUAGCCUGCAAAUUUGAUGAAGCUGUCCCUGUGUUCUUCCAGGUUUUUUCAAUAAAGUUUAGUGGGAGAUAAAAGGAGGAAGGGGGAGUAAAACAGCUGAACAGGAAUCCAUCUAUUCCUUCUACCAGAGGAAUAUGACCAGAGAAAUAAAAUAAGAAAGCAUAGCACCUGGCCUAAUCUUUCUGUCAAUUGGACUUCCAAAUAAAUAGCAUAAACAUAUUUGCUGACAGAAAAAUACUCUAUCUGUAAAAUGCUGUUAAUUAAAUAUCACUGGCUUAAGAAUGAUAUCAAGUAAAUAAGACCCAUGACCUAUGACUCAAUGAGGCAUGGCUCCCUGGCAAAUCUCACUUGAGAUAUGUAGUUCUACCCAGUGUAAAAUUGAGAUGCUUUAUAAUGUAAAUGUUCCCCAAUAUGUGAUGAACUCCACAAACCUCAAUUAGAGGCCCCACCUAUUCUGGGCCAGAGAUUCAUAUCUAAUGGGUGAAGGAAGAACCUGGGGAGCCCCUGGAUGUUCCAGACUUCCCUUUGCUUUGUCAGAGAAUAUUGAUCAUCCUAUUCUUAAAAUUAUUUAGUAAAUUUUGAUACUGAUUAGUAUCUAUAAUCGGUAUGUGAAUUGAUAACCAAAUCAGCAUGUAGAUGACAGCAUGUAUUCCAAUUUUUAAAAACGUGUUUUAUUUUGUUUUUGAGAGACAGAGCAUAAGUAAGGGAGGGGC
Herpailurus yagouaroundi (jaguarundi) is the source of this 908-nucleotide long non-coding RNA. RefSeq lists it as uncharacterized. The record is from RefSeq and is a predicted model, not a curated record. The transcript is spliced from 4 exons. NCBI's taxonomy places the organism in Eukaryota, Metazoa, Chordata, Mammalia, Carnivora, Felidae.